GUGAGGAAUAUUGGACAAUGGGCGCAAGCCUGAUCCAGCCAUGCCGCGUGCAGGAAGACGCAUCUAUGGUGUGUAAACUGCUUUUGUACGGGAAGAAACACUCCCUCGUGAGGGAGCUUGACGGUACCGUAAGAAUAAGGAUCGGCUAACUCCGUGCCAGCAGCCGCGGUAAUACGGAGGAUCCAAGCGUUAUCCGGAAUCAUUGGGUUUGAAGGGUCCGUAGGCGGUUUAAUAAGUCAGUGGUGAAAGCCCAUCGCUCAACGAUGGAACGGCCAUUGAUACUGUUAGACUUGAAUUACAAGGAAGUAACUAGAAUAUGUAGUGUAGCGGUGAAAUGCUUAGAUAUUACAUGGAAUACCAAUUGCGAAGGCAGGUUACUACUUGUGGAUUGACGCUGAUGGACGAAAGCGUGGGGAGCGAACAGGAUUAGAUACCCGUGUAGUCC
This 445-nucleotide ribosomal RNA is filed under the name uncultured bacterium. RNAcentral's name for it is "partial 16S ribosomal RNA". It matches the Rfam family "Bacterial small subunit ribosomal RNA", at positions 354 to 796 of the family's 1533-position model. The record is from RNAcentral.